This 263-nucleotide unclassified non-coding RNA is filed under the name plant metagenome. RNAcentral's name for it is "partial contains small subunit ribosomal RNA, internal transcribed spacer 1, and 5.8S ribosomal RNA". The record is from RNAcentral.
UUUCCGUAGGUGAACCUGCGGAAGGAUCAUUAUUGUAUAACCGAGGUGCGAGGGCUGUCGCUGACCCGAAAGGUCGUGCACGCCCGAGUGCCCUCACACACAUCCAUCUCACCCCUGUGUGCACCACCGCGUGGGUCCCCCUUUGGCUUGUUCGGAGGGGGGCUUACGUUUUCACACAAACUUUGUAUGCAGUGUAGAAUGUAUUUUUUGUUUUUGCGAUCACGCAAUCAAUACAACUUUCAACAACGGAUCUCUUGGCUCUU